GCAAAGACUUAACAGUUAGCUAGCAGAACCACAAUGACUUCAAGCCAAGCAGGGGAAGAAUAGGAAAAGAUGACGUGUUGAUUCCAGAUGAUGGUUGAACAGUGAAGUAGUCAAACAGAGAUGAUGAGAAAAACUCUCUGAAUAGAUGCAGGGAAUGAGCAUCAAGCUGAAAGCUGACGAGUUCAUGCUGUGUCGGCAGGAAGUGCCCCGCAUUGGACACCUGCUGACAGCAUGAGGGCUGAGAAUCGACCCCAGAAAGGCUAUUCACUCCUCUAACCUGGGGCUGCAAGGUUGCCUUAGGCCAGUGAGAGACUGUUGCUGCUAGCAAGGUUUAAAUCCCAGCACUGCUCAAGUUUUUGCUCGCAGGGAACUUCACAGCAACAGCUGGUAACAGGGAGAACAGGAGCUGAACUGGCUGGUGAGCACUCAGUAUAGAGACUCUGGUUUUCCAUCUACUCCUCGCCAGAUUGUCUGCUCACCAUGCGUGGUAGUAUCUUGGCUGCUGUUGCCUUAGUGUUUGCUUCUGAGUUGUUUGCCUUUGUGCUAACCAAUUUCUAUGUGGAUCCAGGAUCACUCAUGCAUGCUACUUCCUUGUGUCACUCCUUUGGAAAGGAUUUCACUCUGCUGACCUGCCUCCCCUGUUCAAGUUCACUUCAUCAGCAAUUCAUGGACAAGGACUUUUCCCCGCACUGCCAGCCAGCCCCAACCUCCCUACUCCCAGUCCUCAAUAAAUCCUUUGAACUUUUA
Long non-coding RNA from Thunnus maccoyii (southern bluefin tuna), 747 nucleotides. RefSeq lists it as uncharacterized. NCBI's taxonomy places the organism in Eukaryota, Metazoa, Chordata, Actinopteri, Scombriformes, Scombridae. The record is from RefSeq and is a predicted model, not a curated record. The transcript has 5 exons.